Molecule: RNA transcript, 1661 nt
Organism: Rhodamnia argentea
Lineage: Eukaryota; Viridiplantae; Streptophyta; Magnoliopsida; Myrtales; Myrtaceae
Gene name: cytochrome P450 724B1
Exons: 9
Source: RefSeq, a predicted model, not a curated record
UGGCCCUCAAGCGUAGCGCUGUGUGUAAUUUAGAGCUUUGUUUUCGCUGUAAACACUCAAAAGACAGGCCAUGGAUAUCUUCUGUUGCCUCUUGCCAAUGCCCGAUGCUGCGCCUGCCAUCUUCCUAGGCCUUUGCCUGGCUUUCCUGUUUCUCUUCUACAAAUUCUUCUCCUCGAAGCAGGACGUUAGGGCGAGGAACCUGCCUCAGGGAAGCGUGGGAUGGCCGCUUCUGGGAGAAACUCUCGCCUUCCUCUCGCCUCACCGGUCCAACUCUCUGGGUAUCUUCUUGCAAGAUCACUGCUCUAGGUAUGGUAAGGUAUUCAAGUCCCAUCUCUUCGGGUCUCCGACCAUAGUCUCGUGCGACCACGAGCUCAACGCGUUCGUCCUCCAGAACGAGGAGAGGCUGUUCGGAGCAAGCUAUCCGAAGCCCAUGCUCGGGAUUCUCGGCAAGUACUCGCUGCUCGUGGUCUCCGGAGACCUCCACAAGAAGCUGAGGAGCGUGGCCGUCAACUUCGUCACCGCCUCCAAGUCGACCUCUGAGUUCCAUCUGUGCGUCGAGAGGCUGUCCGUCUCCAUGUUGGAGUCGUGGAAAGGGCGUGAUCAAGUUGCCUUCUGUAAAGAAGCCAAAAUGUUUGCACUAAGCCUUAUGGUGAAGACCCUUUUGAGUAUUGAACCAGAAGAUCCGAGGGCAAGGAAGAUACUUGCUGAUUUCUUGACCUACAUGAAGGGUUUCGUGUCCUUGCCCUUAUAUAUUCCUGGUACCCCGUACGCCAUGGCCGUGAAGGCAAGAGCAAGGCUUUCCUCAACCGUGAGAGAGAUAAUAGAAGAGAGGAGAAGAAGCAGCAGCAGCAGCAAUGUGGUGGGGUUGAGGAAAGGAGACUUCAUGGACGUGAUUCUAGGGAAGGAGGGGUUGAACGAGGAAGAGAUGGUGAGCAUCGUGUUGGACAUCUUGCUCGGCGGCUACGAAACCACCGCCACCCUCAUGGCCUUGAUCGUCUUCUUCCUCGCACAUGAACCCGCCUCUCUCCUCCAACUCAGGGAAGAGCACCAAGCAAUAAGGCGGAAGAAGGGGAGAGGAGAGCCGUUGAACGCGGAAGAUUACAAGCAAAUGGAGUACACUGAUGAUGUCAUAUGCGAGGCUCUGAGAUGUGGGAAUGUGGUCAAAUUUGUGCACCGCAGAGCCCUUCAGGACAUCGAGUUCAAAGGCUUGACCAUACCCUCGGGUUGGAAAGUAUUUCCGGUCUUCAUCGGGACGCAUCUUGAUCCGAAUCUUCAUGAGAACCCCAUGAAAUUUGAUCCUUCGAGAUGGAAGGAUAAAGCAAUGAACAAGAAGGUCAUGCCUUUCGGAGGUGGACUUCGACUUUGUCCCGGCGCCGAACUCGCUCGACUCAUCAUUGCCUUCUUUCUUCAUCACCUCGUCCUCAGCUUCAGGUACCAGUAAAAUAAAAUAAAAAUAAACACAUGAUUGAAAUCUUUGUUCGCACCGAACAAUAACGUGUUAAGCGAUCCCGAUCUUCACAUUCCAUAACGGACCAAACAAACAGUGGAAGACGAAACCAGAUGACUUCCCCGUUGCUUACCCUUAUGUGGAGUUCAAGAGGGAUUUGGUGCUGGAGAUCGAGCCAACAGAAACCCACAGCUAAUUUUGCAGACAAGAGAAG